RNAcentral lists this small RNA (287 nucleotides) under uncultured Treponema sp. Its description in RNAcentral is "5' ureB small RNA". It matches the Rfam family "5' ureB small RNA". The record is from RNAcentral. Lineage: Bacteria; Pseudomonadati; Spirochaetota; Spirochaetia; Treponematales; Treponemataceae.
AACCUGUUCCGGCGAAAUAAAAUGAAUGUGGGUAUCAAUUCCGCCUGCAGUAACAAUAAGACCUUCCCCCGCCAGCGCCUCUGUACUGGCUCCAACAGUCAUGCCAGGAGUAACACCGUCCAUAGUAUCUGGAUUUCCAGCCUUUCCGAUGCCUGCAAUUUUUCCGUCUUUAAUCCCGAUGUCUGCUUUGUAAAUUCCUGUGUAAUCCAGAAUUACGCAGUUUGUAAUUACAAGGUCCAGAUCUCCAGUCUUGCUUGUUGUAUUCACCGACUGCCCCAUUCCGUCAC